AGAGAAUCAGCCCUGGGGACUUCAUUUCAGCUCCUGCCUGAUGUCUGUCUGCCUGCAGCUUGCUAAGCUUCCCAGGCUUUCUGGAAGCGUCCGCACCGUGUCCUUGUCUUCACUGGGUCUCUUCCUUCUCGAAUAGGGAAGACAUCUUCCAGGUGGGGUUUUCUCUCUGCUUCUGGGAAGAAAAAGGAGAGGGUCACGGCGGCUUUCUUGAACCUGCUGCUUUUUCAAGUACCUUGAGCUCAAAAUAAAUUUUAUGUCAAAGCCUCGUA
This is a long non-coding RNA of Neofelis nebulosa (Clouded leopard), 269 nucleotides long. RefSeq lists it as uncharacterized. The record is from RefSeq and is a predicted model, not a curated record. The transcript is spliced from 2 exons. NCBI's taxonomy places the organism in Eukaryota, Metazoa, Chordata, Mammalia, Carnivora, Felidae.